CUCAUAUGCUUCAGGGAAGGUAAAAAGAACCUCUGCCUAAAUAAGUGUUCCUGUGUUUUGUUCCAGUAUCCUGUGAAGGGCUUCACUAGUGAUUAGGUCUUGUGAGACAUCAUGCGGAUCAGCUAUGGGAUACCUUCUUCUUUUAUGAUGAACAUUGGAGGUCUGGACUUGGGCAUACUUGUCCCCUCUAGGACGUGUGUGCUACCCAAGGUAAAACAAGAGCCUAUUCCCAAUGACUAUGGGUAAGCACCCAUUUUCAUGUCAGAUGGCUAGCACAUGAUAUGGUUUUCAGGCUUUCAGUGAUUAAUGAGAGGCAUGGAUCCUUAUUAAUAUAUAGUUUUCUACCACUACAGAUAUUUAUCCUUGGAACUUCUUUAGGUUUCUUUCAAGGGAGAAAGAUUUCUCUUACCCAUCACUGUCCUUGGAGUUCUGCAAGGACCAAGAGACCUCUUGAUAUCAGAGUGACCCCCACAAAGUACUUCAGUGGAUCCCUACAGAAACACAUGAAAAUGUGGGAUUCAGCUCAGGCAACAAACAGGGUCCCUAACACUACAUCAAUUUGAAGUAGUAAACAUAGGAGAGUGCAGGUAUCCACUUAGGAAAGACCG
This 608-nucleotide long non-coding RNA is filed under the name Fukomys damarensis (Damara mole-rat). RNAcentral's name for it is "lncRNA (ENSFDAG00000026210.1)". Lineage: Eukaryota; Metazoa; Chordata; Mammalia; Rodentia; Bathyergidae. The record is from RNAcentral.